AACGCAGGCCGCACCUUGUAGCAUCAUUCUGUGUUGCUGCAAGGUAUACACGUAUGAGUGUCAGUCCAAUAUCAUUUUGGUUCAAGAGGAUAAUAUAGAAUUUUUCUUUAUGAAUACUCUUGGAUACAUAUUUAUAAUUUUUUUAUUAAAAAUAUGUCUGGCCUCAUAUGUGUAAGGUUACCCGCUGGAUUUAA
RNAcentral lists this unclassified non-coding RNA (194 nucleotides) under uncultured soil eukaryote. Its description in RNAcentral is "sequence contains 5.8S rRNA gene, ITS2, 28S rRNA gene". The record is from RNAcentral.